GAUGAACGCUGGCGGCGUGCCUAAUACAUGCAAGUCGAGCGAACAGAUGAGGAGCUUGCUCCUCUGACGUUAGCGGCGGACGGGUGAGUAACACGUGGAUAACCUACCUAUAAGACUGGGAUAACUUCGGGAAACCGGAUCUAAUACCGGAUAAUAUAUUGAACCGCAUGGUUCAAUAGUGAAAGACGGUUUUGCUGUCACUUAUAGAUGGAUCCGCGCCGCAUUAGCUAGUUGGUAAGGUAACGGCUUACCAAGGCAACGAUGCGUAGCCGACCUGAGAGGGUGGUCGGCCACACUGGAACUGAGACACGGUCCAGACUCCUACGGGAGGCAGCAGUAGGGAAUCUUCCGCAAUGGGCGAAAGCCUGACGGAGCAACGCCGCGUGAGUGAUGAAGGUCUUCGGAUCGUAAAACUCUGUAAUUAGGGAAGAACAAAUGUGUAAGUAACUAUGCACGUCUUGACGGUACCUAAACAGAAAGCCACGGCUAACUACGUG
RNAcentral lists this ribosomal RNA (497 nucleotides) under uncultured bacterium. RNAcentral describes it as "partial 16S ribosomal RNA". It matches the Rfam family "Bacterial small subunit ribosomal RNA", at positions 28 to 507 of the family's 1533-position model. The record is from RNAcentral.